This 499-nucleotide ribosomal RNA is filed under the name uncultured bacterium. RNAcentral describes it as "partial 16S ribosomal RNA". It matches the Rfam family "Bacterial small subunit ribosomal RNA", at positions 28 to 507 of the family's 1533-position model. The record is from RNAcentral.
GACGAACGCUGGCGGCGUGCCUAAUACAUGCAAGUCGAGCGGACUUUCAAGAAGCUUGCUUUUUGAAAGUUAGCGGCGGACGGGUGAGUAACACGUGGGCAACCUGCCUGCAAGACGGGGAUAACUCCGGGAAACCGGGGCUAAUACCGGAUAAUAUCUUCCUUCGCAUGAAGGAAGGUUGAAAGGCGGCGCAAGCUGCCGCUUGCAGAUGGGCCCGCGGCGCAUUAGCUAGUUGGUGAGGUAACGGCUCACCAAGGCGACGAUGCGUAGCCGACCUGAGAGGGUGAUCGGCCACACUGGGACUGAGACACGGCCCAGACUCCUACGGGAGGCAGCAGUAGGGAAUCUUCCGCAAUAGACGAAAGUCUGACGGAACAACGCCGCGGGAGCGAAGAAGGUCUUCGGAUCGUAAAGCUCUGUUGUCAGGGAAGAACAAGUACCGUUCGAACAGGGCGGUACCUUGACGGUACCUGACCAGAAAGCCACGGCUAACUACGUG